Rhipicephalus sanguineus (brown dog tick) is the source of this 414-nucleotide long non-coding RNA. RefSeq lists it as uncharacterized. The transcript is spliced from 2 exons. Lineage: Eukaryota; Metazoa; Arthropoda; Arachnida; Ixodida; Ixodidae. The record is from RefSeq and is a predicted model, not a curated record.
ACAUACCUCGUGGCACGUUCAAACGCAUGCUGAACGUCAUUCGACACUACCGCGGCUUUUGCUCGAUGUGCGUCGUUUUGUAGGUACUUUGGAACGCGCAAGACUAGCGAAGAUCGGGACACUUCGCUGCACUGUGGCGCAGCGGGCGAGCAGCGAUGCCACCGAUUAUUCUCCGCUGAUGUGUGCGGACGGGUACCUUCGCGAGAGUGUGCUGUCGAAAGGACGGAAGCUGUCAUUGGCAAUGAGAAGUAUGUCUAUGACGUGGAAGAAGCUGUUUUUUGAAGAGACAGCGCUUGUGACCUUUCGGCGAAGUGCCAAGCGCCGCACGACGUAAACUUACAGAGCGCCAACCCAUGUGCAUCGGUGGAAAGCAAGGCCAAAGGGAGUCAACUAUGCUCUGGACAUUUUUUUUUU